CCAAGCCUCAUCCUCUCUAGCCCUCUCUCGGCGUCCCUCCUAUGGCUGCUUCCAGCCAUCUCCCAUGGCACUCUAGGCACCAGUCGCCUCCCAUGGCGCUCCUGCACUUCUGCUCGCCCAAGCUCCACUUCCCUAUUCCAGCCAUCUCCCAUGGCCAAUCCAGCUCCUCCCAUGGACGCUAGCCCUCAUCUCAUGGUCGCCCCUACACUAGCGUUUGUCUCUGCUCCAGCCCUCCCUAGCUCCUCUCUACUAGUGGACGUCCCUAGUCUUUCCAUGCGAGCUUGCCCCCUCCAGCCAAGGAUGCACCACUCCCUUUUGCUGCUCGUCGUGGACACGCUCGGCGCCCUCUCCUCACUUGAAGCUAGCAGCAACACCUUGUUAGUGGUCGAGUAGCACGUCAUCGGCUCCGUGAUUUUUGGGCAGCCCGGUUGCGGUGUCGUCAAAACCCGGUGAGACCCUGUUGUCCCUGCAUGCCAUGUGUUUGAUGUAAUGCCUCGAUGUCAUUUCUUGCAGCCCUCUGUCG
RNAcentral lists this long non-coding RNA (523 nucleotides) under Zea mays. RNAcentral's name for it is "long non-coding RNA (ZMAY_LNC000832)". Lineage: Eukaryota; Viridiplantae; Streptophyta; Magnoliopsida; Poales; Poaceae. The record is from RNAcentral.